GUACAGAUCGGUCUGUCAGAAAUUUCAUUCAGCGGAGGAAGCAUAUCAAUAAGCGGAGGAGCAUAUCAAUAAGCGGAGGAGCAUAUCAAUAAGCGGAGGAGCAUAUCAAUAAGCGGAGGAACAUAUCAAUAAGCGGAGGAUGAAUGGCUCAGCGGAUGAAUCAAAACUUUCAACAACGGAUCUCUUGGUUCUGGCAUCGAUGAAGAACGCAGCGAAAUGCGAUAAGUAAUGUGAAUUGCAGAAUUCAGUGAAUCAUCGAAUCUUUGAACGCACAUUGCGCCCGCCAGUAUUCUGGCGGGCAUGCCUGUUCGAGCGUCAUUUCAACCCUCGCGCCCCUUCUGGGAACGCGGUGUUGGGGACCGGCACAACCCGCCUCUUGGCGGGCGCCGCCCCCGAAAUACAGUGGCGGUCUCGCUGCAGCCUCCCUUGCGUAGUAGCACAACCUCGCACCGGAGCGCAGCGCGGCCACGCCGUAAAACCCCCGACUCUCCUGAGUUUGACCUCGGAUCAGGUAGGAAUACCCGCUGAACUUAAGCAUAUCAAUAAGCGGAGGAA
This 555-nucleotide ribosomal RNA is filed under the name Sordariomycetes sp. HHTG-2015m. RNAcentral describes it as "eukaryotic LSU rRNA". The stretch from base 165 to 318 matches the Rfam family "5.8S ribosomal RNA". Lineage: Eukaryota; Fungi; Ascomycota; Sordariomycetes. The record is from RNAcentral.